Molecule: ribosomal RNA, 735 nt
Filed under: Actinomycetes bacterium
Lineage: Bacteria; Bacillati; Actinomycetota; Actinomycetes
Description: bacterial SSU rRNA
Rfam family: Bacterial small subunit ribosomal RNA
Source: RNAcentral
GGGUGGGGAUUAGUGGCGAACGGGUGAGUAACACGUGGGCAAUCUGCCCUGCACUCUGGGACAAGCCCUGGAAACGGGGUCUAAUACCGGAUACUGAUCCUCGCGGGCAUCUGCGAGGUUCGAAAGCUCCGGCGGUGCAGGAUGAGCCCGCGGCCUAUCAGCUUGUUGGUGAGGUAAUGGCUCACCAAGGCGACGACGGGUAGCCGGCCUGAGAGGGCGACCGGCCACACUGGGACUGAGACACGGCCCAGACUCCUACGGGAGGCAGCAGUGGGGAAUAUUGCACAAUGGGCGAAAGCCUGAUGCAGCGACGCCGCGUGAGGGAUGACGGCCUUCGGGUUGUAAACCUCUUUCAGCAGGGAAGAAGCGAAAGUGACGGUACCUGCAGAAGAAGCGCCGGCUAACUACGUGCCAGCAGCCGCGGUAAUACGUAGGGCGCAAGCGUUGUCCGGAAUUAUUGGGCGUAAAGAGCUCGUAGGCGGCUUGUCACGUCGGUUGUGAAAGCCCGGGGCUUAACCCCGGGUCUGCAGUCGAUACGGGCAGGCUAGAGUUCGGUAGGGGAGAUCGGAAUUCCUGGUGUAGCGGUGAAAUGCGCAGAUAUCAGGAGGAACACCGGUGGCGAAGGCGGAUCUCUGGGCCGAUACUGACGCUGAGGAGCGAAAGCGUGGGGAGCGAACAGGAUUAGAUACCCUGGUAGUCCACGCCGUAAACGGUGGGCACUAGGUGUGGGCAACA